Molecule: ribosomal RNA, 463 nt
Filed under: uncultured bacterium
Lineage: Bacteria
Description: partial 16S ribosomal RNA
Rfam family: Bacterial small subunit ribosomal RNA
Source: RNAcentral
GACGAACGCUGGCGGCGUGCUUAACACAUGCAAGUCGAGCGGAAAGGCCACUUCGGUGGUCCUCGAGCGGCGUACGGGUGAGUAACACGUGAGUAAUCUGCCCCUCACUUUGGGAUAGCCACCGGAAACGGUGAUUAAUACCUGAGAUGACCAUAUGUCGCAUGGCGUGUGGUGGAAAGUUUUUCGGUGAGGGAUGUGCUCGCGGCCUAUCAGCUUGAUGGUGAGGUAAUGGCUCACCAUGGCUUCGACGGGUAGCCGGCCUGAGAGGGUGACCGGUCACACUGGGACUGAGACACGGCCCAGACUCCUACGGGAGGCAGCAGUGGGGAAUAUUGGACAAUGGGCGGAAGCCUGAUCCAGCAACGCCGCGUGAGGGAUGACGGCCUUCGGGUUGUAAACCUCUUUCAGUACCGACGAAGCGCAAGUGACGGUAGGUACAGAAGAAGCACCGGCCAACUACGUG